GAUUGUCCUGAGGGUCCACCUGUUCCCAUCCCGAACACAGAAGUUAAGCUCAGGUGCGUCGACGAUAGUAUGCGGGUGACUGCAUGUGAAAAUAGAUAACGC
Molecule: ribosomal RNA, 102 nt
Filed under: bovine gut metagenome
Source: RNAcentral